This 486-nucleotide ribosomal RNA is filed under the name uncultured bacterium. Its description in RNAcentral is "partial 16S ribosomal RNA". It matches the Rfam family "Bacterial small subunit ribosomal RNA", at positions 30 to 507 of the family's 1533-position model. The record is from RNAcentral.
AUUGAACGCUGGCGGCAUGCCUCACACAUGCAAGUCGAACGGCAGCACGGGUGCUUGCACCUGGUGGCGAGUGGCGAACGGGUGAGUAAUACAUCGGAACAUGUCCUGUAGUGGGGGAUAGCCCGGCGAAAGCCGGAUUAAUACCGCAUACGAUCUACGGAUGAAAGCGGGGGACCUUCGGGCCUCGCGCUAUAGGGUUGGCCGAUGGCUGAUUAGCUAGUUGGUGGGGUAAAGGCCUACCAAGGCGACGAUCAGUAGCUGGUCUGAGAGGACGACCAGCCACACUGGGACUGAGACACGGCCCAGACUCCUACGGGAGGCAGCAGUGGGGAAUUUUGGACAAUGGGCGAAAGCCUGAUCCAGCAAUGCCGCGUGUGUGAAGAAGGCCUUCGGGUUGUAAAGCACUUUUGUCCGGAAAGAAAUCCUUGGCCCUAAUACGGUCGGGGGAUGACGGUACCGGAAGAAUAAGCACCGGCUAACUACGUG